GACGAACCGUGCGAACGUUGUUCGGAAUCACUGGGCUUAAAGGGUGCGUAGGCGGGGCUUUAAGUCAGGGGUGAAAUCCUGGAGCUCAACUCCAGAACUGCCUUUGAUACUGAAGAUCUUGAGUUCGGGAGAGGUGAGUGGAACUGCGAGUGUAGAGGUGAAAUUCGUAGAUAUUCGCAAGAACACCAGUGGCGAAGGCGGCUCACUGGCCCGAUACUGACGCUGAGGCACGAAAGCGUGGGGAGCAAACAGG
RNAcentral lists this ribosomal RNA (253 nucleotides) under uncultured bacterium. RNAcentral's name for it is "partial 16S ribosomal RNA". It matches the Rfam family "Bacterial small subunit ribosomal RNA", at positions 524 to 776 of the family's 1533-position model. The record is from RNAcentral.